Long non-coding RNA from Arabidopsis thaliana (thale cress), 591 nucleotides. RefSeq annotates it as other RNA. The record is from RefSeq. The transcript has a single exon. Lineage: Eukaryota; Viridiplantae; Streptophyta; Magnoliopsida; Brassicales; Brassicaceae.
AGAGAGAGAGAAAGAAAAUGCCAAUUGUAAGUUGAUGGAUCAUCUCAGAAAAUGUAACACGAACCAAAAACCUUUUUGGAAAAUUACUAUAUUAUUUUUUUUGUAGUGAAAAUUUUAUUAUUAACAAAUGUCUAAAAUUUGCUUAAUAGGUUCUGACCGGAUCGACGAGAUAAACCGGGUUACAACCCGGUUGCAAUUUGGAUCAAAGCUAAAAAGAGAUGGCUUCGGUUGUGUCAUGGACGACGAUGGUGAUCGGAGAGGGGCUUUGGUGGUGUUGGGGCCGAAGGUGGAGGUCGAAGAAGCUUCUGUCCGUUUUUAAGAGAGGUUUCUAGAUGAGUUUCUUUUCUGCGAUAGAUUGACAUAUGUAUACGAAAAUCAGCCAUAAAUCUCUACCAAUAGCUCACAUACCCAUGAAACAUCACCUCCAUUGGAAAUCUAUUUCAAUUUCCUAUAACCAUUAUAAAGAGGUCCAAAGCUAAAUCUCAAUGAAAGAACUUCAUCCGAGUCGAUCUUUGAGAGACUUCAGAUAGGUUAUGAAUCAUCAAUUCUCUUCUUUGCAUUUAAAUGUGUGUCCUCCAUUAUUUUAACAUG